Molecule: long non-coding RNA, 273 nt
Filed under: Elaeis guineensis (African oil palm)
Lineage: Eukaryota; Viridiplantae; Streptophyta; Magnoliopsida; Arecales; Arecaceae
Description: long non-coding RNA (EGUI_LNC067591)
Source: RNAcentral
UGCCCAAAAACUCAUCAAUGAAAAUGAGGAAAAAAUAAUUGGCGCCACCUUUCUUUUCAUUUUUGAAAAAUUUCUUUCCUUCUUAUCUCCUUAUCUCUAAUUUGGAUCGCAUUCGAAUUAGACAAGAGAUAAAAUCAUGACUCACCAUGCUUUGCCACCCACCCUUAUUGGGCCCACUCUCAUCAUGCUAAAAAUCUCAAGCCAAAUCCAAUUUGGUGUUGAGAAUAAAGGCAUGGGUCCACGGUGGCGCAAGGAGAAAGAGAUAGAGUCUCC